RNAcentral lists this ribosomal RNA (576 nucleotides) under Streptococcus mutans. RNAcentral's name for it is "bacterial SSU rRNA". It matches the Rfam family "Bacterial small subunit ribosomal RNA", at positions 371 to 936 of the family's 1533-position model. Lineage: Bacteria; Bacillati; Bacillota; Bacilli; Lactobacillales; Streptococcaceae. The record is from RNAcentral.
AUGGACGAAAGUCUGACCGAGCAACGCCGCGUGAGUGAAGAAGGUUUUCGGAUCGUAAAGCUCUGUUGUAAGUCAAGAACGUGUGUGAGAGUGGAAAGUUCACACAGUGACGGUAGCUUACCAGAAAGGGACGGCUAACUACGUGCCAGCAGCCGCGGUAAUACGUAGGUCCCGAGCGUUGUCCGGAUUUAUUGGGCGUAAAGGGAGCGCAGGCGGUCAGGAAAGUCUGGAGUAAAAGGCUAUGGCUCAACCAUAGUGUGCUCUGGAAACUGUCUGACUUGAGUGCAGAAGGGGAGAGUGGAAUUCCAUGUGUAGCGGUGAAAUGCGUAGAUAUAUGGAGGAACACCAGUGGCGAAAGCGGCUCUCUGGUCUGUCACUGACGCUGAGGCUCGAAAGCGUGGGUAAGCCGAACAGGAUUAGAUACCCUGGUAGUCCACGCCGUAAACGAUGAGUGCUAGGUGUUAGGCCCUUUCCGGGGCUUAGUGCCGGAGCUAACGCAAUAAGCACUCCGCCUGGGGAGUACGACCGCCAAGUUGAAACUCAAAGGAAUUGACGGGGGCCCGCACAAGCGGUGGA